This 513-nucleotide ribosomal RNA is filed under the name uncultured bacterium. RNAcentral's name for it is "bacterial SSU rRNA". It matches the Rfam family "Bacterial small subunit ribosomal RNA", at positions 994 to 1509 of the family's 1533-position model. The record is from RNAcentral.
AACUUAGCAGAGAUGCUUUGGUGCCUUCGGGAACUCUGAGACAGGUGCUGCAUGGCUGUCGUCAGCUCGUGUUGUGAAAUGUUGGUUAAGUCCCGCAACGAGCGCAACCCUUAUCCUUUGUUGCCAGCGGCUCGGCCGGGAACUCAAAGGAGACUGCCGGUGAUAAACCGGAGGAAGGUGGGAUGACGUCAAGUCAUCAUGGCCCUUACGGCCAGGGCUACACACGUGCUACAAUGGCGCAUACAAAGAGAAGCGACCUCGCGAGAGCAAGCGGACCUCAUAAAGUGCGUCGUAGUCCGGAUUGGAGUCUGCAACUCGACUCCAUGAAGUCGGAAUCGCUAGUAAUCGUAGAUCAGAAUGCUACGGUGAAUACGUUCCCGGGCCUUGUACACACCGCCCGUCACACCAUGGGAGUGGGUUGCAAAAGAAGUAGGUAGCUUAACCUUCGGGAGGGCGCUUACCACUUCGUGAUUCAUGACUGGGGUGAAGUCGUAACAAGGUAGGCGUAGCGAG